AUCUCUGUAGAGUCUGCAUAUCAAUAAGCGGAGGAAAAGAAACUAACUAGGAUUCCCCUAGUAACGGCGAGUGAAGCGGGAAGAGCUCAAAUUUGAAAUCUUAAAGGUUUUCCCUUGACGAAUUGUAGUUUAAAGAAGUGUUUUCUGUUGAGUGUUUUGGUAAAAGUUCUUUGGAAUAGGACAUCAUAGAGGGUGAGAAUCCCGUAUUUGACCAUUUACUUUCAGCUGUGUGAUACACUUUCAAAGAGUCCGGAUUGUUUGGGAAUGCAGUCCAAAAUGGGUGGUAAAUUUCAUCUAAAGCUAAAUAUUGGCGAGAGACCGAUAGCGAACAAGUACCGUGAGGGAAAGAUGAAAAGAACUUUGAAAAGAGAGUUAAACAGUACGUGAAAUUGUCAAAAGGGAAGCGUUUGACACCAGUGUUGUUUUUCCGAAAAUCAAUUACGAAUGGCUUGAUUCUGUGUUGUAUUGACCUUAUCAGCUUUCUUCACUUUUUUCGAGUCUUUCUUAAUGCACUUUUCGGUUAACAAGUCAACAUCAAUUUCUUUUGUUGUAAAAGAGUAUUCGGAAGGUGGCUUUCUUUUCGGAGAAAGUGUUUAUAGCCCUAUACUUCUACAAUCGGAGAGAUUGAGGUCUGCAGCGUAGAUCCUUCGGGGUUAGAUACAUUUGUGCUAAGUUAUAGCCUUUCAUAGGACAACUUGUUGACUAUGAUCAGUCAUGUAGCUUACUCGCUUAUGCUAUUUUACCUACGCUUAGGAUGUUGAAGAUGUAGCACAUCAU
RNAcentral lists this ribosomal RNA (777 nucleotides) under uncultured Neocallimastigales. RNAcentral describes it as "partial large subunit ribosomal RNA". It matches the Rfam family "Eukaryotic large subunit ribosomal RNA", at positions 24 to 643 of the family's 3401-position model. The record is from RNAcentral. Lineage: Eukaryota; Fungi; Neocallimastigomycota; Neocallimastigomycetes; Neocallimastigales.